UGCCACAGCCAUAUCACCGUGCAGCCCAAGACUGGUUGCCCACUGAAGCUAAGCAGGGCUGAGCCUGGUCAGUACCUGGAUGGGAGACCUCCUGGGAAAACUAGGUUGCUGCUGGAA
This 117-nucleotide ribosomal RNA is filed under the name Sinocyclocheilus grahami. Lineage: Eukaryota; Metazoa; Chordata; Actinopteri; Cypriniformes; Cyprinidae. The record is from RNAcentral.